Long non-coding RNA from Pecten maximus, 289 nucleotides. RefSeq lists it as uncharacterized. Lineage: Eukaryota; Metazoa; Mollusca; Bivalvia; Pectinida; Pectinidae. The transcript has 3 exons. The record is from RefSeq and is a predicted model, not a curated record.
UGUGACCCCAUACGCGUACGUGAGUUUCUAAUCGAACAAGAGGUUACGUCACAUCGGAAGUCAACGUUAUACCGGAAGUGAUUGCGGAAAACAGAACUUUACAUUCUAUCGCCGAGAAGUUACUACUGCAGUUUAUGGAACAUUGAACAAUUACUGUUACAAGGAAUGUCAUACAUCACCGGGAAUACUACGUUCUUUGUAACAACAGGACGGAAUUGAUAUUGAGAACCCCUGUCACAUUGAUAGAGGUGUCUGACUGAAGUUGUCUAUGAAUAAAACGUGAAAAGAA